Molecule: long non-coding RNA, 348 nt
Organism: Asparagus officinalis (garden asparagus)
Lineage: Eukaryota; Viridiplantae; Streptophyta; Magnoliopsida; Asparagales; Asparagaceae
Exons: 2
Source: RefSeq, a predicted model, not a curated record
CUCUCUCUCUCUCCACUCUAUCUCUCAGCUUCUCCUUCUCUCUCACUUCCGUCAUGGCCGCUGAAAAUGAUUAGACUGAGGAGGUCGUGGAAGGCGAAGGCGAGGACGGUGGUCAUGGAGUCGGAGGUCGGGGAGUCAUCUUAGAAACAGCUCGUGAACGCGGGUUCAACAACAAACACGGAACAUGGUCCGGGGACCCGCGAGCUGACGGAGCCUGGGGCUUUGGUCUGAUGCAUCGUUGUUCUCCCCUUUCUAGGUUACGGAAUAUCUUUACCCAAAUCAAUGUCUUAAUCAAGAUAGUGCUCUUGUUUUCUUGUAAUUUAUGAAGGGAAUCGAUAUUGGAUUUUU